Homo sapiens (human) is the source of this 1902-nucleotide long non-coding RNA. RefSeq lists it as uncharacterized. The transcript has 2 exons. NCBI's taxonomy places the organism in Eukaryota, Metazoa, Chordata, Mammalia, Primates, Hominidae. The record is from RefSeq and is a predicted model, not a curated record.
AGUAGACAUAACAAUGACUCUAUUGAACUGGAAGUUAAGACUGCCACUAGGCCACUUUGGGCUCCUUAUGCCUGGGUCAACAGGCCAAGGAGGGAGUUAUAGUGUUGGCUGCAUGGCUGAUCUGACUACUAAGGGGAAAUUGGACUACUGCUCAACAAUGGAGAUUCUCUCUGGACUAUUUCAUGGCUCAGGAACCACAUCCUCCUUCCCCACUUCCUGAGUGUAUGGGAUGGCCACAUAUACUGAAGCUCAAUCUUAUGAAAAGAGCAUUUCAGAGGCAGGAGGAUCUGGAUUUGAAUUCCGGCUUGAUCCUGGGCUGAACAGGACCAGUUCUGCUUUCUGCCCUGGGGCAAGUUACCCAACAUCGCUGAGCAUCUGUUUCCUUCACUAUAAAAUGAGGAUGAUGAUACCACGUGGGAUUGUUGAGAAGAUAAAAAGAGAAAGCACUUGAAAAGCUUCUAAACAUGACCUCUCACAAAGCUGUUCAAUAACUGUUAGCUCCCUUUUCUCCUCCUUGCAGCUGCUGUUUCCUGGAGUUGCAAACGUUUCUAGGUGAGCUCAUGUGAGACCAUCUGAAACAUUCCAAGAAGUAGUCCAGAUGUAAAGACAGCUUUAUCUUUGGCCAGGUGCAGUCUUACUAGAAUGGCCCAUCCUGGUAGAGAAUCAUGUGGCCCCUUAGACAACUAUGACACCAGGAAUUGGAUGAAACAAAGUUUCAGCUACAGGAUGAGGAUAUAUAGAUAAAUGUUGAUGACAUAUUUCUUUCCUUUUUUGGUUUCCUUUUCCCUUGAAAAUGCUUUCAGAUCUCUGAGACAUCCCGUUGUCAUCUUCCUCUUUUAAAACCCUUCGUGUGCUCUUUUCUAUGAAGGGCUGGUUGGCAGCUGAUGAGGCCCCAGGCUGGAAGGAACUCACCGGCUCAUGGCUCACCAACCCCUAACUACAGCUGGGCAGGCAAGGAGGGAGGCUGCAAUUUCAUUCACUUCUUUAGAUUGAUGUUUUGACAUCUUUAGAAGCCUCUGUUAAAAUGGAAAUGUGGAAUCUGAGUAGUGUGGUCAAACUGGUAUACGAGGACAUUUUGGUGGUGACUCAAGUCUGAUGAAGCUUUUCUAGUAAUUUGUGCCUUCCAUUUCCUAGGAACAAGAGUGAGUGAGGACUAAGGACACAAAACAGCAGCAGUUUCAGCCCCACUCCUAUAAUAUUCUAAAAGCUUGUCCUUAGAUCUUGAUAUUCUUCUCUCAGGCAGAGAGCUUAAGAAUAUUAGAGAAAUAUCCUGAUACUUUUGCAUUUUAAGGUAAGCCACAGCCAGAAAGAACAAUGGGAGGCCCAGAAGCCCACCUCCAACCACUCCAACCAGAUACACCAAGGACUCUGGCUCAGACCAGAUACAGCCACCUUGGUGAUCCAGAGAGGCCUCCUGCUGGGUGCAGUGGCUCAAGCCUGUAAUCCCACCACUUUGAGAAGCUGAGGUGGGAGGAUUGCUUGAAGCCAGGAGUUCAAGACCAGCCUGGGCAACAUAGCAAGACCCCAUCUCUACAAAAGAAAAAAAGAGAGAGAGAGUGAGAGAGGCCUCCUAUCAGGAAUCAUGCUCAAGUUCCAAUUCAAUUUCAAUGAGAGAUAAGGGAGUAAACAGCAGGAAGGAGGGAGAUUCCAGAAGACCCCAAGACUGCAUUGUUGGGCUGUCAUUGUUCAUGGGAAUUACUCACCCAUGGGUCUCCAUCGGGUUUCACCCACAGGUCUGUGCACCAUGUCUUGCUCUCUAGGAACCAGAACAUCUCUAUGGUUCUUUGGAUAGAAGUACUCUAUUUCAGUGACUCUUAGAUUUUUGUUUAUUUUUAAAAAGGGAUAGUUGUGGUGAAUUGCAUUAGGAUUACUAAAAUAAAAGCAUUAAGAAACUCCCCAAAA